Molecule: unclassified non-coding RNA, 437 nt
Filed under: uncultured Thelephoraceae
Lineage: Eukaryota; Fungi; Basidiomycota; Agaricomycetes; Thelephorales; Thelephoraceae
Description: sequence contains ITS2
Rfam family: 5.8S ribosomal RNA (bases 1-155)
Source: RNAcentral
AACUUUUAGCAACGGAUCUCUUGGCUCUCGCAUCGAUGAAGAACGCAGCGAAAUGCGAUAAGUAAUGUGAAUUGCAGAAUUCAGUGAAUCAUCACAUCUUUGAACGCACCUUGCGCCCUUUGGCUAUUCCGAAGGGCAUGCCUGUUUGAGUAUCAUGAACACCUCAACUCUCAUGGCUUGCCAUGAUGAGCUUGGACUAUGGGGGUCUUGCUGGCCUAUGGUCGGCUCCUCUCAAAUGAAUCAGCUUGCCAGUGUUUGGUGGCGUCACAGGUGUGAUAACUAUCUACGCUUGUGGUUUUCCACCAGGUAACCUUCAGCAAUGGAGGUUCACUGGGGCUCACAAACGUCUCUCCUCAGUGGGGACAGCUCUUUAAACAUUUGAUCUCAAAUCAGGUAGGACUACCCGCUGAACUUAAGCAUAUCAAUAAGCGGAGGCU